Molecule: unclassified non-coding RNA, 220 nt
Filed under: Hevea brasiliensis (rubber tree)
Lineage: Eukaryota; Viridiplantae; Streptophyta; Magnoliopsida; Malpighiales; Euphorbiaceae
Source: RNAcentral
GUGCUUGCUAUAAGACAGAAUUUUAAGUUAUCAUGUGUAAGUUAUCACCCUCAGAUAUGUUGAUAGAAACUGGAAAAUUCUUGUUCAGGUUAGUUUUUGAAACUUGAAUCAAAGAUUUAUAAUGAAAUACAAUCGAAAUGGUGGAAUGUUAUUGGUUUUAUAUAUAUAUAUAUAAUACCAUGUUUUAGCAGUGAAAAAUCCUUAAAAAUGUAGCUAUCGG